This is a long non-coding RNA of Hyla sarda, 1114 nucleotides long. RefSeq lists it as uncharacterized. The record is from RefSeq and is a predicted model, not a curated record. Lineage: Eukaryota; Metazoa; Chordata; Amphibia; Anura; Hylidae. The transcript is spliced from 3 exons.
UUUCCCUUUAUAUUUUGUUCUCUAUUGUUCUUAAUUUGUACUAUGUUUGUGUACUGUACCAUUGUCUAUGGUGUCCCCGACUGGAGACACUGUUUGAUACUAAAAAGCCACAUAGAUAACGCAAAUGUGUUUCAGGGCUGACAGCCAAUUUAUACAUCUGAGAAAGGAGUGUCUCAUAUUCUGAAAUACAUUUGCAUUAUGUAUGUGCCUUUUUAUAUGAUUCAUGUUUGAACAAAAUUCUGUUAAUGCAAAGACACUCCAGCAUAAUCAUAUUACUACUACUACUGAAUGGUUUCUGCACCUUAAAUUAGGCUAGUUUUUUUCCCCACCACUCUGCUGCUUAAAAGGCACUUUAUGGAUGAUUAUGUCAUUCUGUGGUUCACAGGUAGUCAGCUGACACAGGACAACAACUUCCAGAAACAAAUAAACCCAUAUUUUUCCUGGUGUUUUGAGUACUGGACACUAGACCUGCUACAGUACUGAAAUGUAUGGUACAGCAGAACUGAAAUGAAACAGAUGGCACUGUAGUCAUAUGAUGGAGAACUGAAAAUACUUCUUCUCAAAAAAGGCUACAUCAUAAUACCAAAAUAAUCUUGGGUAAAAGCAUUAUAAUUACUGGAGGAUAAAAGAAAGUUCUCAUGACCAUCAUAAUGCACAGCUCAUUGACCAUUAAGAAGUUGAGCAGAUUGUGAUUCUGAUGAGACUCUUCACUUGAUGAACACGAUGGAAUAUCUGCCAAAAUACUGCAAAACAGGAACGAAGAGUUGAUGAAUGGAGGCAGCCAAGGGAGAAAAAAAUCACAGACAAAUAUGACUCUUGUGUUAUAGUUUUGCAAAUGAUUUUAAAACAGGAAAUAGCAAAAGGAAUUUAUUUUUAUUCCUUUUUUGUUGUUGAAAUUUUAGAAUUCAUUACCUCCUGGCUUGGAAGUCGUAUAUUAACAUUUUACUGCAAACAGCUCAAUUGUGUAUUUUAACAGCAUUACUUUAUACAAAAUAUGAUAAAUAUCAAACUAUAGAUUACUAUGUGUGUUUAUAAACUUUGUAUUUUAUUUCUUAAGGUUUUUUGCUUGUUAAUUAUUUACAAUUAAUUAUUCGUCUUAGAAUUUAAACAUUUU